CAAUAGCGUAUAUUAAAGUUGUUGCAGUUAAAAAGCUCGUAGUUGGAUUUCUGGAUGGAGCGACCGGUCGGGCAUUAAUUUGUCUGCACUGGAGUCGGUUCCGUCCAUCCUCUUGGAAAGUGCGUCGGGCAUUAAGUUGUUUGGCGUAUGAUCCAAGUCGUUUACUGUGAAAAAAUUAGAGUGUUUAAAGCAGGCCUUCGCCUUGAAUACAUUAGCAUGGAAUAAUAAGAUAGGACUUUGGUCUAUUUUGUUGGUUUGCAGACCGAAGUAAUGAUUAAUAGGGAUAGUUGGGGGUAUUUAUAUUCCGAUGUCAGAGGUGAAAUUCUUAGAUUUUCGGAAGAUAAACUUAUGCGAAAGCAUUUACCAAGGAUGCUUUCAUUAA
RNAcentral lists this ribosomal RNA (382 nucleotides) under uncultured eukaryote. RNAcentral describes it as "partial 18S ribosomal RNA". It matches the Rfam family "Eukaryotic small subunit ribosomal RNA", at positions 592 to 976 of the family's 1831-position model. The record is from RNAcentral.